AUACGUAGGUGACAAGCGUUAUCCGGAUUUACUGAGCGUAAAGGGCGUGUAGGCGGUCUUGCAAGUCAGAAGUGAAAUUACUGAGCUCAACUCGGGCGCUGCUUCUGAAACUGCAGGACUUGAGUGCUGGAGGGGAUAGCGGAAUUCCUAGUGGAGCGGUAAAAUGCGCAGAUAUGAGGAAGAACACCGGUGGCGAAGGCGGGUAUCUGGACAGUAACUGACGCUGAGGCGCGAAAGCGUGGGGAGCAAACAGGAUUAGAUACCCUGGUAGUCCACAAUGUAAACGACGAUUGCUAGGUGUGGGGGGUCUGACCCCUUCCGUGCCGCAGUUAACGCAAUAAGCAAUCCACCUGGGGAGUACGGCCGCAAGGCUAAAACUCAAAUGAAUUGGCGGG
RNAcentral lists this ribosomal RNA (395 nucleotides) under uncultured bacterium. RNAcentral's name for it is "partial 16S ribosomal RNA". It matches the Rfam family "Bacterial small subunit ribosomal RNA", at positions 523 to 917 of the family's 1533-position model. The record is from RNAcentral.